CUUUAGCCCUGAUGGUAGCGGCAUCCUAUUGUGCCGGUGUUCGGCGCAAUAGAUAUAGCGUACAACAGGAGGAGUC
This 76-nucleotide small RNA is filed under the name Flavobacterium segetis. Its description in RNAcentral is "Flavo-1 RNA". It matches the Rfam family "Flavo-1 RNA". Lineage: Bacteria; Pseudomonadati; Bacteroidota; Flavobacteriia; Flavobacteriales; Flavobacteriaceae. The record is from RNAcentral.